GCAUUUGCUAUGGCCUCCACUCUUGCUCCUCCGGAUGACCUCCACAUUGCUGGCUUCUUGUUGGGGAUACACACCUACCUACCGAGAGACCUCCAAACAGAGACAUCAACACAGAAACCUCCGCAGAGAUAACCAGAUCUCCAUAUGCAAACCCAUGUAAAAAGAAACCUAGAGAAACAGAUGCCCAGAUGAAGAGGGGUUUCCAGACAGAUUCUUGGCUGACGUUUCUGUCAGUGGUGUGAAAGGACAUUUACCCAGAUUCUAUAGAUAUUUUGGUUAUGCACUCAACAAACCUACAAUGAAACUACCAGAAUACAAAAGCAAUUGUGAACUCCAGAGAGUGCUAGAAAACAUUAUGGAAGAGGGUAUAGUUUAUGUUAAUUAUAGAGGACUAAAGAGAUGUAGAAUAGGAGAGCUGAAAAAGCCUCCACUUCCAGUGGCUCUUAGAGUGUAAUUAGUCCAAGGGACAGCAAGCUGCCUUCUAGCAGAAUCGUUGUGAUCCCAAAGCCCACAUGACUGGGGCCUCUCUCUGGUCCUUUAUACAGUAAUUAAUAUUUAAAAGAUCUCGCUAAAGCCCUGUCAAGUCCUGAAGCAAGAUUUUGAAAAAUAAAAAAACUCAUAAAACACAAAAUAGAACAAAACAAUGAGCUCUGAGUUUGCUUUGUUGAAAGCAAUGGGUUGAAUUGUGUCUCCCCAUAAUAUGUAUUUUGAAGUCCUAACCUCUAGUACCUUAGGGUGUGACCUUAUUUGGAGAUGCAGACAUUACAGAAGUAAUCAAGUUAAAGUGAGGUCAUUGGGAUGGGCCCUAAUCUGAUACAACUGGUAAUUUGGACACAGACACAUUCAGGCAGAACACCAUGUGAACAUAAAGAUGGUCAGGUACAAGCCAAAGGGGAGAGGCCUGGAACAGAUCCUUCCUUCACAGGCCUCAGAAGGAACCAACCCUGCCAACAUCUUGAUCUUGGACUUCUGGCCUCCAGACCUGUGAGACAACAAAUUUGUGAUCUUUUGUUAUGACAAUCCUAGCAAAAUACACUGUGACACCCAGUUUCUAAUCUGAUGACAAACGGAGGCAUCUACAAUCUCUGAGGGUGUGUGCAUUUGGGCACUCAUUUCACCACUGACUUCAUUUAUGUCCUAUUCUUUGUUUUCCAUUUGUUUCAUUUUUCUAAUUUUAUCUUCCAUUUUUAAAAAAGUUUACUGUACUAGACGUAACUUUUUAAGCUGCCUGAAAUUCUUCUUAGGUUUACAAAUGAUAUAAACUGGUAAAUAAAGAUGAUCAGACCUUAAGCACAUAUAGCACACAUGGCUGGGAUGAAACAACUAAGUAGCAAAAUAUUAAUUUAUAAAACAAAUUAAACAGCAAAAAAAGAAAAUAGUAAAAUCCAACUCUCCUGGACCAUUGGAGGAGGAACUGCAAGGGAUGAUGAAGAUUUCAUAGAGCAAAUGAUUUCUACACUCUGGGAAAGAAUUCUUCAGGCAGUACACCACUUUAAAAUGGUGCUUGACUCACCAAAACAUCAGAGCCGUCUUCAACUUUUCACAACGCAGAGCAGAGAAAGAGGAAGAUCACUUGUAGAUGGAGUGUGGCAGGAAUUUUGUGAAGUGUAUAAAGAAGUUAGCAAGUGUAUAAAGAAGAUAGCCAUUUACUAAGCAUCUGCUAUGUAGCAGGCACUCUGCUAGACAUUUGUUAUGGAAUGAAUCAUUUAAUCCUUGUAAUAAACUUGCAAGGAUAUAUUUUAGCCCACCCCCUACCUAAAACCAAUAAAUAUGUGGCUCAGAAAAGUAAAUUAACUGGUCUAAGAGCAAGUAAUUAGUAAAAAGUUGAGCUGGGAUUUGAUAUAAAGAAAAAUCUGAUCUAAACUUGAUAAUAUUUCUGCUUCCCCAAAUUGCCUCCUUAAAGUUUACACAUUGUUUGGUCUCUUCAAUACACAUCAAAAUUAUCAAUACCUAUAGAAAUGUCAAUGAAAAGUCUUCCUUUAAAUUAGAAUAUUUAGAAACUUUAGGCCCAGAGACUAAAAAGUAUGUGAAAUUAGUAUAAAAGUAUGUAAAAUGUUUGUAAAGAAAUGAUGAUAACUUCGUAGACCAAUGUGGCAUGUAAAACAUGUGGGCCACAGAGGGAGAUUAAGAAAAAAAUAUAUGCAAUCAUAAUAAUAAAAGUGGAGUUACUCCAGACUAUGCUUUUUGCCAAUUCUUUGGUGAGAAGGGAUUGGUAGUUAAUUAUAGAACCACUUUCUAUAUUAAUUCUAGAUAUUGUAUUCUAAUCCUUAGAAAGUAGGCUGUGGAAGAACUAAUAAUUGCCCUCAAGGACCCAUUCUCUUCUUCUCAUAAGAGAAUCUAUGGUUGCCCAACUAAAGCUUCUAUUUCGCAGCACUCAUUGCAGAUAGUUAUAGCUAUGGACUCAGUUCUGGCCAGUGGACUCUGAAUAAAGGUACUAUGUACACUGUUGGCUGUGCUCUUAAAGCUAAGGGAUGUGCCAUCUCAUCCCCUGUGCUCUCUUUGUUGGCUGGGAAGCUGGCAGGAUGAUAGGAGUUAAGCCAGCCAUUAUGGACUUUCAGAUGGAAACCAGCUGUUGAGGAUGAGAGAGCGACAAAAAGAAGACCGUCAAGAUUGUGGGGCUAAUUUACCAGCCUGAAUUGCCAACCUGUGUUUUUGUAUUACAGGCAAAUAAAGUAUGUGUUUUUAAAGUCGC
Molecule: long non-coding RNA, 2692 nt
Filed under: Homo sapiens (human)
Lineage: Eukaryota; Metazoa; Chordata; Mammalia; Primates; Hominidae
Description: non-protein coding lnc-PERP-1:5
Source: RNAcentral